This 1696-nucleotide unclassified non-coding RNA is filed under the name Gigantopelta aegis. RNAcentral describes it as "protein FAM78B-like, transcript variant X1". Lineage: Eukaryota; Metazoa; Mollusca; Gastropoda; Neomphalida; Peltospiridae. The record is from RNAcentral.
ACAACAAUAGCACAUGGCAACCGCUAGCAGACGACGUAUGAUUCAAAUUUGUUGAUAUGGAUAAGAUUAAGUUUAAACUACAAUAAGUAUCUUAAGAAGGCCAUUUUAUUUUUUAAAUGAAUCUUAAUAAUGGCUGACUUGGCUAUGAAACAGAUGUGCCCUAGGCGUCAAUGCAUUUGCCCCAUCUGAAAAAUAAGACAAUUCGUCUGCUUGAGCCGUUUGCGACCGUGUGGUGGAUGCUAAUGGAUGUCACUGAGGACAUGGGUCUUGCUUCAAGUUCCACAAGAAAAAUCCCCACUCUCCCGCAAAUAUCAAUAUCUCCGUCCAAACAAGUGCUGCAAAAAAUACGAGCUGCAUACAUUGACGGCAGAAUUGAUAAUGAGCCAACGCAAAUAGACGAAUCAUCACCAGCAGUGCUGAAGUACAGAACGCCAAAUUUUAGGGCCACAGCAACGAUUGAAAUGUCCCCAAGCGAUGAAACGGAAACGUGGAAAGUGGGCUGGAUCCAAGCUUGUACAGAUAUGCUGUUCCAUAACCAGUACAAGGAUGAGGGCUACACAAGCUGGGAAUUUCCUGAGCUCAUAAGUGGGAAGCAGUCAAUGAUCAGCGACUGUGAUGGGCGACAUUAUCCGUGGUAUGGGUCUCGGAACGAAACGGUCAUCUUUGAAACGCCAUGUAGUUCGUACCAGCGGGCCACGGUGACCAUGAAUGACAACUUCCACCCCCACGUCACAUGGCGCAAUCCUGCCAACCGAAACCAAGUGGAGCCCAACCUCUCUCACAUCGUUCGCGACCAGAGCUUCUACGUCUGGCUAGUUGUGUGGAACAUGACCACCAUGAAGUCCUACAUUCUGCAGACGAUAAGGUGGACAAUGAAGCUGGAAAUCGAGGUGAACCCUAAGGCAGAGCUUGGCAAGCGGGCUCGGUUGAUCAGCGAUCCAAAGCCAAUUCAGCCAGUGCUGCUGGAAAAGAACGUUCCAAUACCCCACUGUGCUCUUGUUCCGCCGAACGCCAACAGUGCACAGAUGCUCGUGUGGCACCCGAACAAAGGCAAAUGUGUGUGCAUCAUUCCACCGGUUUGGAAUGCGGAAGAACGCGAAACGAGAAUUGAAAGCAAACUGUGAUAUAUAUACAUAUAAGCAUGUCUUUCAAACUAUUGAUGAUAAAAAUGGCAGCGAUAUGGAUGCGAGGAUAUGGGUGAUUUACCGAAACCGUUGAUGCACGAUUGCCACGCAGCUUUCACUUGCUUGUGCUAUUCCAAAAAAAAAGGUUUCAGUUUUGACUACAAUGGAUACCAUGUUAUAUCCUGCAUAUUGUAAGGUUAUAUCCUGUAUAUUGUAAGGUAUUAAGCAUUGUUAAUCAAGUAUUGUAUUCUGGACAGUGGAUAUUAAAAAAUAUAUUUUAGUGCCAUAUCUUAGUGUCGUACAUUAUAACUUAGUAACUGUAAUUUAAUGCUUCUACUAUUUAUCGUUUGGUGCAUACUACACUUUUAUUUCAUAUAAAUGCACAUAUCUACAUUAUGUACAGCUAUUUAUUUUUAAUGUGUGGUAUCUUAAUGUUUAGAUAUAUAUUGAUGAAUUUGUGAUAUAUGCAGGACAUACCGAUUACUUCUAUUUUUGUACAUUUUGUUGCAACUUGUUUGUUACUUUUUAUUAUUGCUUUCAUAUAAAAUGAAAUAAAUCAUGAAUAUUACAAA